UACGGAGGGGGCUAGCGUUGUUCGGAAUUACUGGGCGUAAAGCGCGCGUAGGCGGCUUUGUAAGUUAGAGGUGAAAGCCCGGAGCUUAACUCCGGAACUGCCUUUAAGACUGCAUCGCUAGAAUCGUGGAGAGGUGAGUGGAAUUCCGAGUGUAGAGGUGAAAUUCGUAGAUAUUCGCAAGAACACCAGUGGCGAAGGCGGCCAACUGGUCCAUUACUGACGCUGAGGUGCGAAAGCGUGGGGAGCAAACAGG
Molecule: ribosomal RNA, 253 nt
Filed under: uncultured bacterium
Lineage: Bacteria
Description: partial 16S ribosomal RNA
Rfam family: Bacterial small subunit ribosomal RNA
Source: RNAcentral